CCUACGGGUGGCAGCAGUGAGGAAUAUUGGUCAAUGGGCGCGAGCCUGAACCAGCCAAGUAGCGUGAAGGAUGACUGCCCUACGGGUUGUAAACUUCUUUUAUAAAGGAAUAAAGUGAUGCACGUGUGCCUUUUUGUAUGUACUUUAUGAAUAAGGAUCGGCUAACUCCGUGCCAGCAGCCGCGGUAAUACGGAGGGUGCGAGCGUUAUCCGGAUUUAUUGGGUUUAAAGGGAGCGUCGAUGGGUUGUUAAGUCAGUUGUGAAAGUUUGCGGCUCAACCGUAAGAUUGACAGUGAUACUGGCAGACUUGAGUACGAUUGAGGAAGGCGGAAUUCGUGGUGUAGCGGUGAAAUGCUUAGAUAUCACGAAGAACUCCGAUUGCGAAGGCAGCCUACUAAACUGCCACUGACGUUGAUGCUCGAAAGUGUGGGUAUCAAACAGGAUUAGAUACCCCAGUAGUC
Molecule: ribosomal RNA, 460 nt
Filed under: uncultured bacterium
Lineage: Bacteria
Description: partial 16S ribosomal RNA
Rfam family: Bacterial small subunit ribosomal RNA
Source: RNAcentral